Molecule: long non-coding RNA, 2700 nt
Organism: Eriocheir sinensis (Chinese mitten crab)
Lineage: Eukaryota; Metazoa; Arthropoda; Malacostraca; Decapoda; Varunidae
Exons: 3
Source: RefSeq, a predicted model, not a curated record
GUUUGACAGAAAACCGAUAAAUCCAAAAAGUCUCUAUGAACGCCUCCCUCUGACCAAACACGGAGUCUCCAAAGUAGGGGUCGCCAGAAGGGAUGAAGAGCAGGGAUUUACGUGUAUGUUAAUCUUUUCUGUUCACAUUAAACUCGAAAAUAAGCCCCGCCCACACAGCCCAGCGACGACCAGUACCAUUUAACCUCUCCCAGCAUCCACCAAUCUCAUUCAGCCUGAGAUGGAGAGGAGGCGUGGCUUGCUUGUGGACUGGCCAAUAGUAUACACAGGGUCGCCACUUCCUCGUAAACAGAUAACUAAAUACCAGAUAGCGGAAGACGCAAGCCCCUUAGUACAAUCAAGAGGCCUUAAGAUGGGUCGAGAGGGACACUCUUAAAGAAAAAUAGGUCACAGUGAGAGAUUUUAAGAACCCUCCUUCAGGCUACUCAAAACUCACUAGAGGGAAUCAAAGAGGAAGCGGAAGGGGAGCGUAUCAGGACAUCUCUCCUCCCGAAAUUGACCUCUCUUUUGGCCACUCCUCUUAACUCUUUAUUGAAGCAGUGAUUUGUGGGCUUUUUUUCCAUUAGUCUUCUUUUUUUUUUUGCCCUUGAGCUGUUUCUUUUAAUGUAAAAAAAAAGUGAAAAAAUGCAGUUAUUGAUAGUGACUUAAAAAACUACCCACGGAAUGGCCCACAACUCCUAUUGAAAGCCUUAUCAAAUGUGUGUGCUUGGGCGCCGAAAUGUUUAAAAGAAUAUUGGAAGAGGAUAGUUUAAGUUUAAUAUAGUUUAAGAAUAUAAGAAUAACUCAAGAGCAGAGAGUACAGACCAGCAUUGCAAAAUUGUCGUACUCUGAGCAUUGCAUUCAUCAUUUUUAGGCUCCAUAACUGUCGCAAACACACAACUAACGAUAGGAAAUUAAAGUUACCGUAAAACUGUUAAAUAUUGAUGGGUUUCGGUCUUUUUUGCUAUAGUUAUCGAUCAGAAACGACGAACAUGCAAUGCGCUGAGUACGAUAACUUGACAACAGACCUUAUUUAUAGACUACUGCGUCGCAAGUGCGGAGGAGAAAAAGUCAUAAUUUCCCGGUACGAAGAAUGAAUAAAGUUUGUGGUUAAAGGGGAAAAGUUUUGACCUCAAUUUGACUUACGAAAGAAGAAUGUGAGGUAGUGAAAUGUGGAAGAUCGGUUUAGGGUACAGAACACACACACACACACACACACACACACACACACACACACACACACACACACACACACACACACACCGGGAACGUAAAACUCCCAAGCCCUGAGCCAAUUACUACUACAAGCUAAUUUACUCAACAUUAGGAAGGCUGUGUUUAGUCUCGUUCUGGUGUAAUUUAUCUUAAUGACCCGAGUUUAACACAAGCACAAACACGGGGCUAAUGAUACAGGUGCCACACCUCCACCUGCCUCCACCACCAUCACCAUCUCCCCCUCCACCACAACCACCAUCACCACCACCAGAACGCAAAAAAAGGAGAGAGAGAGAAAAAAGAAAACUCAACAAGGAAAUUUAUACUGCAUGAUGUUUUUGUUACUUAUGCUGUUCACUAUCAUCAAAACCACCAUCACCAUCACCACCACCACCACCACCACCACCAAAACUAGAUAUACAGGAAAAAAUCAGAAAAAAAAAUCUAUACAGCAUGGUACUUUCGUUUCUUCUACUGUCCACUACCCUCAUCCUCCCCCACCAUCACCAUCACAUCAAUCACCACAACCGUCAACACCAUACCCAUCACUAUCACCACCACCACCACCACCACGAAGAAAAACAACCCUUCCGGCAAAACUGAAAAAAAAUAAAACUUCUGCAUGGUGUGUGUGUGUGUGUGUGUGUGUGUGUGUGUGUGUGUGUGUGUGUGUGUGUGUGUGUGUGUGUGUGUGUGUGUGUGUGUGUGUGUGUGUGUGUGUGUGUGUGUGUGUGUUACUUUUGCCACCAUCAUGACAAGUUAAGUUCAACAUGGAGGUGAACGACUGCUGUGAAACUGGAGAUGAGUGGAUGAGUGUGUAUGUAGGUGGUGGGAGGAAGGGACGUCAGUGGCUGGUGGGCGGAGGGGGGUUGAAGGGCAUGGGGAAGGGCUGGGGAGGGCGGGAUAAUACUGAAUGCUUAGACGGGACAAGAUGGGAUGGUACAGGAUGGAGACGGAUGAGAAGGGACAAGGGAUGGGUGUAGGUUGAGGAUCGGGGAUUGAUGUGAAGGGUAGUGAUGGGAGGAUUGGUUGAGAAGGGACAAGGGAUGGGUGUAGGUUGAGGAUCGGGGAUUGAUGUGAAGGGUAGUGAUGGGAGGAUUGGUUGAGAAGGGACAAGGGAUGGGUGUAGGUUGAGGAUCGGGGAUUGAUGUGAAGGGUAGUGAUGGGAGGAUUGGUUGAGAAGGGACAAGGGAUGGGUGUAGGUUGAGGAUCGGGGAUUGAUGUGAAGGGUAGUGAUGGGAGGAUUGGUUGAGAAGGGACAAGGGAUGGGUGUAGGUUGAGGAUCGGGGAUUGAAGUGCAGGGCCGUGAUGGGAGGAUUGGAUGAGAAGGGACAAGGGAGAGGUGGGGUGCUAUGGAUGAGGCGAUGCUGGAGGAGGUACUAUGAACGGGAUGAUACUGGAGGAAUUACAGAUGAGAUGAGAUGCGAUGAGAUGAAGUCCCACGCAUAUUCAUUGACACUAAAAACUUCAUACAAACAAACACACACACACAAACAA